This 478-nucleotide ribosomal RNA is filed under the name uncultured bacterium. RNAcentral describes it as "bacterial SSU rRNA". It matches the Rfam family "Bacterial small subunit ribosomal RNA", at positions 30 to 508 of the family's 1533-position model. The record is from RNAcentral.
AUUGAACGCUGGCGGAAUGCUUUACACAUGCAAGUCGAACGGUAGAGGGGGCAACCCCUCGAGAGUGGCGAACGGGUGAGUAAUAUAUCGGAACGUGCCCAGUCGUGGGGGAUAACGUAGCGAAAGUUACGCUAAUACCGCAUACGAUCUACGGAUGAAAGCGGGGGAUCGCAAGACCUCGCGCGAUUGGAGCGGCCGAUAUCAGAUUAGGUAGUUGGUGGGGUAAAAGCCUACCAAGCCGACGAUCUGUAGCUGGUCUGAGAGGACGACCAGCCACACUGGGACUGAGACACGGCCCAGACUCCUACGGGAGGCAGCAGUGGGGAAUUUUGGACAAUGGGCGCAAGCCUGAUCCAGCCAUGCCGCGUGCGGGAAGAAGGCCUGGGUUGUAAACCGCUUUGUCAGGAGAAAGUCUUCUAGGCUAAUACCUUGGAGGAUGACGGUACCGUGAAGAAUAAAGCACCGGCUAACUACGUAG